Molecule: transfer RNA, 74 nt
Filed under: Bermanella sp. 47_1433_sub80_T6
Lineage: Bacteria; Pseudomonadati; Pseudomonadota; Gammaproteobacteria; Oceanospirillales; Oceanospirillaceae
Also listed under: 7 other names
Description: tRNA-Cys
Rfam family: tRNA
About the family: Transfer RNA (tRNA) molecules are approximately 80 nucleotides in length. Their secondary structure includes four short double-helical elements and three loops (D, anti-codon, and T loops).
Source: RNAcentral
GGCGCGAUGGUAGAGAGGCUAUGCAGCGGACUGCAACUCCGUGUACGCCGGUUCGAAUCCGGCUCGCGCCUCCA